GCGCCCAUAGCUCAGCUGGAUAGAGCGCCUGUCUACGGAACAGGAGGCCGGGGGUUCGAAUCCCUCUGGGCGCACCA
Molecule: transfer RNA, 77 nt
Filed under: Glutamicibacter bergerei
Lineage: Bacteria; Bacillati; Actinomycetota; Actinomycetes; Micrococcales; Micrococcaceae
Also listed under: 17 other names
Description: tRNA-Arg
Rfam family: tRNA
About the family: Transfer RNA (tRNA) molecules are approximately 80 nucleotides in length.
Source: RNAcentral